RNAcentral lists this ribosomal RNA (893 nucleotides) under uncultured bacterium. RNAcentral describes it as "bacterial SSU rRNA". It matches the Rfam family "Bacterial small subunit ribosomal RNA", at positions 505 to 1398 of the family's 1533-position model. The record is from RNAcentral.
GUGUCAGCAGCCGCGGUAAUACGAAGGGACCUAGCGUAGUUCGGAAUUACUGGGCUUAAAGAGCUCGUAGGUGGUUAGAAAAGUUGGUGGUGAAAUCCCAAGGCUUAACCUUGGAACUGCCAUCAAAACUUUUUGACUAGAGUAUGAUAGAGGAAAGUGGAAUUUCUAGUGUAGAGGUGAAAUUCGUAGAUAUUAGAAAGAACACCAAUUGCGAAGGCAACUUUCUGGAUCAUUACUGACACUGAGGAGCGAAAGCAUGGGUAGCGAAGAGGAUUAGAUACCCUCGUAGUCCAUGCCGUAAACGAUGUGUGCUAGACGUUGGAAAUUUAGUUUUCAGUGUCGCAGCGAAAGCGUUAAGCACACCGCCUGGGGAGUACGACCGCAAGGUUAAAACUCAAAUGAAUUGACGGGGACCCGCACAAGUAGUGGAGCAUGUGGUUUAAUUCGAAGAUACGCGCAGAACCUUACCAACACUUGACAUGUUCGUCGCGACUCUAAGAGAUUAGAGUUUUCGGUUCGGCCGGACGAAACACAGGUGCUGCAUGGCUGUCGUCAGCUCGUGUCGUGAGAUGUUGGGUUAAGUCCCGCAACGAGCGCAACCCUUACUUUUAGUUGCUACCAUUUAGUUGGGCACUCUAAAAGAACUGCCGGUGAUAAGCUGGAGGAAGGUGGGGAUGACGUCAAGUCCUCAUGGCCCUUAUGUGUUGGGCUACACACGUGCUACAAUGGUACUCACAGUGAGAAGCGAAGAGGCGACUCUAAGCUAAUCCCUAAAAAGUACCUCAGUUCGGAUUGUACUCUGCAACUCGAGUACAUGAAGCUGGAAUUACUAGUAAUCGCGGAUCAGCGCGCCGCGGUGAAUACGUUCCCGGGUCUUGCACACACCGCCCGUC